This 810-nucleotide long non-coding RNA is filed under the name Astyanax mexicanus (Mexican tetra). Its description in RNAcentral is "lncRNA (ENSAMXG00005011372.1)". Lineage: Eukaryota; Metazoa; Chordata; Actinopteri; Characiformes; Acestrorhamphidae. The record is from RNAcentral.
UGACAAAUAUUACAGUAUAAAUCAGAUAUGAUAUGUUUGGCUUUCGAAGCAAACCACGGGAGCAUACGCACGCGCGCGCGCCCACACACACACACACACACACACACACACACGUGCAGCAUAUCUGCGUUGGAACCAUCAGCUUAAGCUCGAGCUCUUUCGCUCGGCUGAUAGUAAAGACACACUCACUUUCUCCAAUACACACACUUUCUCCGACACACACUUUCUCUAACACACACACAAACCCACACACACUGGUGUGACUGGUGAGCGCGCGCAGGUCUCGGCACUUCACCAUGGAUCCCGUCUCGUGCGCUACCGCCGCGGCCACUGAGAGCUCCGACAAGCCGCGCGCGCUGAAGGCUCCGCGCCUCGCGCUGCUCGUCCCCGCCGCCUGUCUCGCGCUGGCCGCGGGCGCUGUGGCGCUCAGCCUCCUGCAGAGCUUCAAAGCGCGCGAGAUGGAGAGCAGGCUGCUCGCGCUGGAGACGGAGAGCGCAGCGUGGGCACGCACACGGGAGAGCACCGCGCGAGACCCCCGAGUACCCGCUCACGAGGACCGGGGGGUCCCGGGACAGGAGGCGCUGACAGAGGAGCUGCGCGAGUUGGUGGAAACAAUUGUGCAAGAAAGGCUGAGUGAAGUGAUGCCGAAAGUGCGGAUUGCGAGAGACGUGACCCAGGACUGCAACUGCCCCCCAGGUCCUCCAGGAAAGCGUGGCCGGAUGGGCAGAAGAGGAGAUCCUGGUGAGUUUAGAAUUCUCUCACUGCUCUGUUGAUUCACUGAUCAUAUCUCUGGCUUUUUGAUGAUGAGUA